This 75-nucleotide transfer RNA is filed under the name subsurface metagenome. RNAcentral describes it as "tRNA-Val". It matches the Rfam family "tRNA". Rfam says of the family: Transfer RNA (tRNA) molecules are approximately 80 nucleotides in length. Their secondary structure includes four short double-helical elements and three loops (D, anti-codon, and T loops). The record is from RNAcentral.
GAGUUCAUAGCUCAUUGGGUAGAGCAGCGGACUCACAGUCUGCAAGUUCUAGGUUCAAGUCCUAGUGGACGUACC